This 433-nucleotide ribosomal RNA is filed under the name uncultured bacterium. RNAcentral's name for it is "partial 16S ribosomal RNA". It matches the Rfam family "Bacterial small subunit ribosomal RNA", at positions 29 to 507 of the family's 1533-position model. The record is from RNAcentral.
AACGAACGCUGGCGGCAUGCCUAACACAUGCAAGUCGAACGAGACCUUCGGGUCUAGUGGCGCACGGGUGCGUAACGCGUGGGAACCUGCCCUUAGGUUCGGAAUAACUCCCCGAAAGGGGUGCUAAUACCGGAUAAUGUCUUCGGACCAAAGAUUUAUCGCCUUUGGAUGGGCCCGCGUUGGAUUAGCUAGUUGGUAGGGUAAAAGCCUACCAAGGCGACGAUCCAUAGCUGGUCUGAGAGGAUGAUCAGCCACACUGGGACUGAGACACGGCCCAGACUCCUGCGGGAGGCAGCAGUAGGGAAUAUUGGACAAUGGGCGAAAGCCUGAUCCAGCAAUGCCGCGUGAGUGAUGAAGGCCUUAGGGUUGUAAAGCUCUUUUGCCCGGGAUGAUAAUGACAGUACCGUGAGAAUAAGCUCCGGCUAACUCCGUG